GGACCACACAAAUGGUAUGGCUGGAUAAACAGCCUUAAAUUUAAGAUGGCCAAUUAUCGCACAAAGUUUCGAAAAGCUGGAUGUGAGGAUGUAGCAAUCCUGGUUGAAAAUGGUUGAACGAUGGCCAGCACUCUUCACAGAGAGACAGGUGUUUGCUGAGUUUAAUUGAAUCGCCAGUAAGAAUCUUGAGGGAGACUUUUGAGGCUCUGGACCAGUACACGCCACGUUUCAUCAAACUCUUCAAAACAAAGAAGGGAACUGUUGGUCAGAAACUCAGGGAGCUGAUUCAGCACAUAAGCUGUAAGACGUGACAGUACUUCACUCUGUUGUCCUCAAAGGCAUUCCCAUUUUACUCUGUGAUGAAUCCAGUGAAUUCUACAAGACCUGCUCUGUAAGUACUUGCACAUAAGAAAAAGUUUGUCUGCAUGAAUAUAAAACUAUACCUGUGUUGACAUAGAAUAUGUAAUUCUAUCCGCUCGAUAUACAAUAUACAUUUUGUACAGUGACUGAUGUAUUUUGUAUAGCAAUACCUCUACAACUAAUCUGAGAGAUAUGUAAACAGCCAGUAAAUAAAAAUAAAAUUUUCCACAUAAACGUUAUACACAUUCAUAAAUUUAAAAUCUAAGGAGUUGGAGUCUAGGUUGAAAAGUUUUUGUUUGCUUUAUUGUAACAAUCCAGUGUGAAAACAUAUUUAAAGCCAUAUUCUCUGAUAACAUUACAACACUAAAAAUAAAUGUUUUAGAAUAGCAUAAAUUGCAAUGCUGAAGAAUGUGUUUCUUUGUAGGAUACAACGAGAGACGUGGCCCUAGAAUGCAUCACUGUUGGUGUGCUGACAGUUGUCAGUGAAGAUAGUCCUCAUGAGGGUCAAAGCUCAGUGGACCUCCAGCCCAUCUCCACUGCCAUCAUUCUGGAGGGAGGUAUUGUCAUGGAUCAUAUUAAAAACUUGCCUCAGGCAGUUUGUCUGUUGUUUGGACUUACAUAUGUAUUGCAUUUGGAUUACCCAAAAUGCAUGGCAAAUACACUCAACUUCAUUCAGACUGUGAUGCUUGGACUGGGAAAGAAAAAACUCCCAUCAAAACUGUUAACUCUGAAGAACAGUCUUCUGGGUUAGAACAGUAAAGAGCUGUCAGAUAGCACUUUGUAAGCUUUGCAGCCAUUAAUGUUCUCCUGUUAUCAGAGAAAGUUUGAUGCUUUCAUGCAACUGUUCACGCUAAUUUACGAUCUCAUUUUAAAAAAGAAAAAAAUUCCAUUGAAGUCUGUACCAUGUUAUGCAGGUAUGCUAAUGGUGGAAAUAGAGCUGUUUGCAAAGUGUUGUUAGUUGUUAUUAGAUGAUAAUGUCAGAAAAUAACCUAGCAAGGUUGUCCUGUUUACAUUUGUGUUUUUGGAAAACUUUUAAUAGUUUUAAUGUAGUACAAAUACAAACCCCAAGGACUGAUUUUUUUUCUUUGUGGUGGUUUAAUCUUUGGACUGUUCAAUUUGAGAAACAAAAGCAUUUGUUGUACUUCCAGCUUUGAUCAGAAAUGCACUGAUUUUUCCAUGCACUGAAGUCCUGUAGUUAUCAGGUUUUUACCUGUUUAAUAUUGGGAGACUCUUAUUAGCUCACAGAAAUGUGGUUUUAUUUUUUAUAUUUUUCCUUUAUUUUCUACAGUUAAAUCAAACAACAACUUUGUUGUUUAACUGCUGUUUGUACUUGAAUGUGCAUUGAAUAAAUGUUGUAAUGGAGCUGAA
Long non-coding RNA from Carassius auratus (goldfish), 1728 nucleotides. RefSeq lists it as uncharacterized. The transcript is spliced from 3 exons. NCBI's taxonomy places the organism in Eukaryota, Metazoa, Chordata, Actinopteri, Cypriniformes, Cyprinidae. The record is from RefSeq and is a predicted model, not a curated record.